UUUCUAUGUUGUCCCUGUGUUGCUAUUAUUAACAUAUCCAGGUUCUGCUGGUGCUUUUCGGAAUGACAUUUUUUUGGCGUUUCUGCUGUGAUUCUUUGAUGUUUCGUCAUGGGAUAACAUGCAUAAAACCUUAAGUGCAUCAGCCCUGAAUGCCAGCUGUGGAUAAGCUGUAAUCUAUGUCAAGCUGAGAUCCUGCCGUACAGCCGGGGUGACAGACACACAGGAAACCUAGCUGGCAUCACACGGUAAUGAGGCAGUAUUUUACACACAACAUCUGAAGCGACGCAUUUAUUAGAGUCCACAGUCACAUCUUUAUCCAAAGACACUCACUGGGAAUAUAUAUGCAAGGAAAUGAAGAGAGGCCCCAAAGCUCAGCUCAAGCAACACUGAAGAAAAGCUCACAAAAAGGAGGAUCACGAGAUAAAGAGCAAAGUCUGAACUCUUCUGACGUUCUUGAAGGACACAGCAGAGCUCUUCCUGAAGCCUGGAAUCCUAUGAAAGAUGCAGCGUUCCUGAAGGGGAGCUGCCAGUAUCCCGCAUUCAUCCUGACUUCUGAGUGAGUCGGGAGCGGGGGAGAAGAAAGGGGAAUGCCGAUGGACCCCGCGGUGAGGACAAUAAAAAAACAUCAAGAAAACCCCAAAGACUGUCAUGUUCCGCUGAUCAUCCCCCCAGACUCAAACCGACCCCUCCUCCGUAAAAACACAGUUUUACCGCUCGAGAACAUCUCUGUAUGCAUUUCUGACUGUGAACCAAUUAAAGAUGCAUGAGCAGGGGGCGUGGUCAUGGGGGUUUGGGGUAGGGUGCCUUAAAAUUUGAUUGGUCACACAAAAUGACACGCCUACUUAAUGUGAUAUCUUCUUUUCAUAAUGUCUUCCUUGCUAAUUGAGGGAGUUUUCUCUUGCCCUCUGGGUGGCUAGGGCCAGGGGGCAGUUAUACAUAUAUGGCCUGUUAAAGGGGUAGCUCGGAGUUUUGGACAUAGGGCCUGAUUCCCAAGUUAGCCUUGGUGUUCUUUAUCAUCGGAGACAGUUUUCAUCACAUUUCAUUCAGUCCUUCUAGUUGCAGAGUUUGCUCGUGCUAGGCUAACGCACGGCAACGGGCAAUACUAGCCUGCUAAUAAAACAGUCUUAUCCACUCCAUAGUACACCCGAGGUAAAUCAAUUAUAAUGCCGGACUAUGGAUGUAAAUGUCUGUGUUGAUAGAAUAAUGUUAGAAUUAAAACUGACCUUGCGUCCAGGGCUGUAGUGGUCAAAUUAGAGGUGGGUAAACUAUGAAUUUUUUGAUCAGACCGACCUCGACACAACACAACGCAACGCAAAGUGUUGCGACUCUGUAAGGCUAGCCUGGCUAUAUUCCAUUAUGUUAUCAAUUAAAGUCAUAUUAAAUCAAUCAAUGACAGUCAAUGAAUGUGUUUGUAGUUUAUUCAAGUUAUUCAAAUUUCAACAGUAAAGAAAAGUAUGUGUAGGAUUAAGAACUAUCUAUCAAUGGCAUGUGUGUAUGUGUGUGUAUUAGUAUGCAUGCUUUUCACAGUAGUACCCAGAGGGCCUCCUUGUCCUCCACGUCAGGUCCUGCCUUCACCAGCCAGGACUUCACAUACGUGUUGGAUUGAACUUUGUGGUGGCUGAGUGGUGGGCCAUUCAGUUGAAUAAACAUCAAGGACGACACUGUGACCAAGUGCAGACUGCAUCUCAGGGGGCACACUAUGAUGUUCAUUAAGCUGAACCCCCUCUCACACUCAGCAGUGCUAACUGGAAUGAGAUGGUCGAUAUUCAGGAGUGGUGCAAGGUUUUCUGGAAUGAUGCUUGAGUUAUCCUUAAAAUCCCUAUAGCCUUCAAGAAUUUUUCUGUCAUCAAGUCUGAACCUUUGGGCAAGUUGUUUCAACUUGGAUUCCCCAUACUGCUCCUCUAGGGAACAGGCCAGUUUGCUGGGAAAAUAACUUUAAAGAAAAUAAAUAAUAAAAUAAAAAUAUUUAUAAUAUAUAAAAUACAGAUAUUUAUAAAUAUUUAUAUUUUUAUUGGUUUAACCGCCAACCGCCCGAAUUUAAUUAAAAUAUAUUUUUUUGUCGCGUCAUCCUCCCGAUCCACGGUUCAGCCGCGGAGUCCACGGCUGCAACCGCCAACCUCGAAUCUCCAAAUUGAGGCUUCAACAUAGCGACCAAGCUAUAGCGAAGUUGAUACGCCGAAACCGGAGUUUAAUAUGGAUAGUAAAACUCUGACUGACUUUCACUCAUUUUGACGUGGGCAGUACACGGAUAGCAUGACUACGCAUUGGCCAAUCUGAAUGCUCGGAGUCACUUAAUAGUUCGUCAAGUAAUAUUGAUUUAUAAAUCACAAAAACAACUCAUGUGAAUUGAUCACCUUCAGUCUUACUUUGUACUUGAGGCCUUUUUCGGGCAUCUGUUGGAGUGGGAGCACUCGAAGGUCUCUUCAAAAAUCGCCUGAUAUCCAUGGCUAAUUAAUGACAGGUAGGCAGGCAUGAUAAUCCACAACGCGCAGGGCCAUGUGUUUACAUACUUCCUGUUUACAUAUUUUCCUGGAUCCUGAUUGGUGUCGCUGCCGCAGCCGCAAGGCACUGAUUGGAGGGUCACAGACCAUAAUAGCAUAGGCCUAGCGCAAAUGAAAAUGAUUCAGAUUACAGCGUUUAUUUGUUCAACAAUAUUAAACCUUGUCUUAGGUGUUUUAAAAUGAUGCUGAAUUUAUUUCCGAUUAUUCCAACGGCAGAAAUCAAGGCACAGGGAACUUUGAGGUGCGUAAACGCUAUUUAGAGGUGCGUAAACUCUAUUUCCUAAAUUCCAGAGGUGCGUAAACGGCGUUUACGUGCGUUUACCCUCCACUACAGCCCUGCUUGCGUCGCAUGAAUCAUCGCAUUUUGAGGGACUACUUUCUCAGCAGCAGCGGAAUUUAACCUAGGUAUCAGUCCGCUGCUGCUGUAGCCUGCUACCAGGAAUAUAACACUGCCGCUGAGACACAGCAAGUCGCACAAAAUGAAAUGCAAUGCAAGGUUGGUUUUAUUUCUGACAUUAUUCGAUCAACACAGACAUUUACAUCGACCGUCUGGCGUUAUAGUUGAUUUGCCUCGGGUGUACUGUGGAGUGCGUAAGACUGUUUUAUUAGCAGGCUAGUAUUGCCCGUUGCCGUGCGCUAGCCUAGAAUGAGCAAACUCUGCAACAAGAAGGACUGAACGAAAUGUGUUGAAAACUGUCUCCGAUGAUAAAGAACACCAAGGCUAAUUUGGAAAUCAUGUCCAAAAUUCCGAACUACCCCUUUAAGCCAUUUGAGCAUGUACCUGUAGGACUAAUCAUAAUAAUUGAAUUUAAGUGAAUAUUAUAUCUUCUUAAGA
This is a long non-coding RNA of Gadus morhua (Atlantic cod), 3336 nucleotides long. The record is from Ensembl. Lineage: Eukaryota; Metazoa; Chordata; Actinopteri; Gadiformes; Gadidae.